RNAcentral lists this ribosomal RNA (253 nucleotides) under uncultured bacterium. RNAcentral describes it as "partial 16S ribosomal RNA". It matches the Rfam family "Bacterial small subunit ribosomal RNA", at positions 524 to 776 of the family's 1533-position model. The record is from RNAcentral.
UACGUAGGGUGCAGGCGUUAAUCGGAAUUACUGGGCGUAAAGCGUGCGCAGGCGGUUUGUUAAGACAGGUGUGAAAUCCCCGGGCUUAACCUGGGAAUUGCGCUUGUUACUGGCAGACUUGAGUGUGGCAGAGGGGGGUGGAAUUCCAGGUGUAGCAGUGAAAUGCGUAGAUAUUUGGAGGAACACCGAUGGCGAAGGCAGCUCCCUGGGUUAACACUGACGCUCAUGCGCGAAAGCGUGGGGAGCAAACAGG